AUACUUAAAAAUAAUUUUGUUUCAAUCUUAUAAUAAAUAUGAGUAUAAUUAUUUUCUAACCAUAUAUUUUGAAAAAUGUAAUUCUUAACUUGAAACAAAGACUCCUUAUAAUUUGACAUUCAAAUUGUAUUAGAGUAGUGAAAUAAUUUCAAAUUAUUAAUGUUUAAGUUAGAUAAAAUAAUAAUUCAUAAAAUUUUCAAAUUUUUC
This 207-nucleotide long non-coding RNA is filed under the name Lathyrus oleraceus (garden pea). Its description in RNAcentral is "Pisum sativum (pea) long non-coding RNA (PSAT_LNC019291)". Lineage: Eukaryota; Viridiplantae; Streptophyta; Magnoliopsida; Fabales; Fabaceae. The record is from RNAcentral.